AAAUCUAAUAGUGAUAAAAAUAAACAAUGCAAUAGGUGCAUGUAGUUAAACAUUUUUAUUUUUGCUGUUGAAAAUAAUGCACAAACCUUACAGUUUAUUUACAGGUAUCCUUGUUGACACAUGUUGUUCCCCUCAACGAGUCACUGCUAUAUGUCUUUUUUUGCCGUAUAACGGUUAUAAGCUUUCAAGCAUAAUAAUAUACAUAAAAAU
Molecule: non-coding RNA, 210 nt
Organism: Paramuricea clavata
Lineage: Eukaryota; Metazoa; Cnidaria; Anthozoa; Malacalcyonacea; Plexauridae
Source: the annotation of a GenBank genome assembly